This 34-nucleotide small RNA is filed under the name Bombyx mori (domestic silkworm). RNAcentral describes it as "ovarian small RNA-14006". Lineage: Eukaryota; Metazoa; Arthropoda; Insecta; Lepidoptera; Bombycidae. The record is from RNAcentral.
CCUGAAAUAAGAGUUUGUUGCAUUUGUCCUUGUG